RNAcentral lists this ribosomal RNA (253 nucleotides) under uncultured bacterium. Its description in RNAcentral is "partial 16S ribosomal RNA". It matches the Rfam family "Bacterial small subunit ribosomal RNA", at positions 524 to 776 of the family's 1533-position model. The record is from RNAcentral.
UACAGAGGUCUCAAGCGUUGUUCGGAUUCAUUGGGCGUAAAGGGUGCGUAGGCGGCGCGGUAAGUCGGGUGUGAAAUCUCGGAGCUUAACUCCGAAACUGCAUUCGAUACUGCCGUGCUUGAGGACUGGAGAGGAGACUGGAAUUUACGGUGUAGCGGUGAAAUGCGUAGAUAUCAGGAGGAACACCUAUGGCGAAGGCAGCUCGCUGGGACGGUACUGACGCUGAGACGCGAAAGCGUGGGGAGCGAACAGG